RNAcentral lists this transfer RNA (69 nucleotides) under Mus musculus (house mouse). RNAcentral describes it as "tRNA-Ala". The record is from RNAcentral. Lineage: Eukaryota; Metazoa; Chordata; Mammalia; Rodentia; Muridae.
GGUUUGUAGCUCAGUUGGUAGAGGACUUGCCCAGCAUGCAGGAAGCCCCGAGUUUGAUCCCCAGCACUG